AAUCUGUUUACUACUAGUUGCUAAGAGAAUUCUCAGAUCUAAGAAGAAUUCCUUACAUAAUAUCCAAGAUAUUUACGAGUUGAAUUCUAGAGCAUUCUUGGCAUUUCCAGGGUUUUCAUGAGUCUUCUAGAGGUUCUUGGCUGCAACUUUGGGCAGAAUUAGCCCCUUUCUAGAUUGUUCCGAGCAACUUUAAAGGCUGAAUCCAGGACCUUUCUAAGGGUGCCAACACGUUCCAGUAUUGUCAGGUUGUUCCGGAGACUUCUGGGCAACCCUAGACGCUUCCUUAGUUUCCGGAAACUUCCUGAAUGUGAAAUUUUUGAGUUGAAUUUUUGCGGGCGUGACACUACGCUCUGUAUACAAUUAGCAGGGGAUAACAUCAUAGGAUUUCGGUCCUAUUACGUUGGCCCUUGGGAUCGGAGUAUAUGAUUAACAAGGACACGUCGGGGGCCAUCGUAUUUCAAUAGUCAGAGGUGAAAUUCUGUGGAUUUAUGAAAAGACGACAACUGCGAAAGCUUUGCGCAAGGAUGUU
RNAcentral lists this long non-coding RNA (529 nucleotides) under Helianthus annuus (common sunflower). The stretch from base 311 to 529 matches the Rfam family "Eukaryotic small subunit ribosomal RNA", at positions 763 to 968 of the family's 1831-position model. Lineage: Eukaryota; Viridiplantae; Streptophyta; Magnoliopsida; Asterales; Asteraceae. The record is from RNAcentral.